This 253-nucleotide ribosomal RNA is filed under the name uncultured bacterium. Its description in RNAcentral is "partial 16S ribosomal RNA". It matches the Rfam family "Bacterial small subunit ribosomal RNA", at positions 524 to 776 of the family's 1533-position model. The record is from RNAcentral.
UACGUAGGGCGCAAGCGUUGUCCGGAAUUAUUGGGCGUAAAGAGCUCGCAGGCGGCCUGUUGCGUCCGCUGUGAAAUCCCGGGGCUCAACCCCGGGCGUGCAGUGGAUACGGGCUGGCUGGAGGCAGGCAGGGGAGAACGGAAUUCCUGGUGUAGCGGUGAAAUGCGCAGAUAUCAGGAGGAACACCGGUGGCGAAGGCGGUUCUCUGGGCCUGUACUGACGCUGAGGAGCGAAAGCGUGGGGAGCGAACAGG